RNAcentral lists this ribosomal RNA (1574 nucleotides) under Limosilactobacillus fermentum. RNAcentral's name for it is "bacterial SSU rRNA". It matches the Rfam family "Bacterial small subunit ribosomal RNA". Lineage: Bacteria; Bacillati; Bacillota; Bacilli; Lactobacillales; Lactobacillaceae. The record is from RNAcentral.
AUUAGAGUUUGAUCUUGGCUCAGGAUGAACGCUGGCGGUGUGCCUAAUACAUGCAAGUCGAACGCGUUGGCCCAAUUGAUUGAUGGUGCUUGCACCUGAUUGAUUUUGGUCGCCAACGAGUGGCGGACGGGUGAGUAACACGUAGGUAACCUGCCCAGAAGCGGGGGACAACAUUUGGAAACAGAUGCUAAUACCGCAUAACAGCGUUGUUCGCAUGAACAACGCUUAAAAGAUGGCUUCUCGCUAUCACUUCUGGAUGGACCUGCGGUGCAUUAGCUUGUUGGUGGGGUAACGGCCUACCAAGGCGAUGAUGCAUAGCCGAGUUGAGAGACUGAUCGGCCACAAUGGGACUGAGACACGGCCCAUACUCCUACGGGAGGCAGCAGUAGGGAAUCUUCCACAAUGGGCGCAAGCCUGAUGGAGCAACACCGCGUGAGUGAAGAAGGGUUUCGGCUCGUAAAGCUCUGUUGUUAAAGAAGAACACGUAUGAGAGUAACUGUUCAUACGUUGACGGUAUCCAACCAGAAAGUCACGGCUAACUACGUGCCAGCAGCCGCGGUAAUACGUAGGUGGCAAGCGUUAUCCGGAUUUAUUGGGCGUAAAGAGAGUGCAGGCGGUUUUCUAAGUCUGAUGUGAAAGCCUUCGGCUUAACCGGAGAAGUGCAUCGGAAACUGGAUAACUUGAGUGCAGAAGAGGGUAGUGGAACUCCAUGUGUAGCGGUGGAAUGCGUAGAUAUAUGGAAGAACACCAGUGGCGAAGGCGGCUACCUGGUCUGCAACUGACGCUGAGACUCGAAAGCAUGGGUAGCGAACAGGAUUAGAUACCCUGGUAGUCCAUGCCGUAAACGAUGAGUGCUAGGUGUUGGAGGGUUUCCGCCCUUCAGUGCCGGAGCUAACGCAUUAAGCACUCCGCCUGGGGAGUACGACCGCAAGGUUGAAACUCAAAGGAAUUGACGGGGGCCCGCACAAGCGGUGGAGCAUGUGGUUUAAUUCGAAGCUACGCGAAGAACCUUACCAGGUCUUGACAUCUUGCGCCAACCCUAGAGAUAGGGCGUUUCCUUCGGGAACGCAAUGACAGGUGGUGCAUGGUCGUCGUCAGCUCGUGUCGUGAGAUGUUGGGUUAAGUCCCGCAACGAGCGCAACCCUUGUUACUAGUUGCCAGCAUUAAGUUGGGCACUCUAGUGAGACUGCCGGUGACAAACCGGAGGAAGGUGGGGACGACGUCAGAUCAUCAUGCCCCUUAUGACCUGGGCUACACACGUGCUACAAUGGACGGUACAACGAGUCGCGAACUCGCGAGGGCAAGCAAAUCUCUUAAAACCGUUCUCAGUUCGGACUGCAGGCUGCAACUCGCCUGCACGAAGUCGGAAUCGCUAGUAAUCGCGGAUCAGCAUGCCGCGGUGAAUACGUUCCCGGGCCUUGUACACACCGCCCGUCACACCAUGAGAGUUUGUAACACCCAAAGUCGGUGGGGUAACCUUUUAGGAGCCAGCCGCCUAAGGUGGGACAGAUGAUUAGGGUGAAGUCGUAACAAGGUAGCCGUAGGAGAACCUGCGGCUGGAUCACCUCCUUAAU